UACGAAGGGGACUAGCGUUGUUCGGAAUUACUGGGCGUAAAGGGCGCGUAGGCGGUGUGUCAAGUCAGGCGUGAAAGCCCCGGGCUCAACCUGGGAACAGCGCUUGAGACUGGCACGCUCGAGUUCGGGAGAGGAUGGUGGAAUUCCCAGUGUAGAGGUGAAAUUCGUAGAUAUUGGGAAGAACACCGAUGGCGAAGGCAGCCAUCUGGACCGACACUGACGCUGAGGCGCGAAAGCCAGGGGAGCAAACGGG
This 253-nucleotide ribosomal RNA is filed under the name uncultured bacterium. RNAcentral's name for it is "partial 16S ribosomal RNA". It matches the Rfam family "Bacterial small subunit ribosomal RNA", at positions 524 to 776 of the family's 1533-position model. The record is from RNAcentral.